This 253-nucleotide ribosomal RNA is filed under the name uncultured bacterium. RNAcentral describes it as "partial 16S ribosomal RNA". It matches the Rfam family "Bacterial small subunit ribosomal RNA", at positions 524 to 776 of the family's 1533-position model. The record is from RNAcentral.
UACAGAGGGGGCAAGCGUUGUUCGGAAUUACUGGGCGUAAAGGGCGCGUAGGCGGCCUGUUAAGUCGAACGUGAAAUCCCCGGGCUCAACCCGGGAACUGCGUCCGAUACUGGUAGGCUUGAAUCCGGGAGAGGGAUGCGGAAUUCCAGGUGUAGCGGUGAAAUGCGUAGAUAUCUGGAGGAACACCGGUGGCGAAGGCGGCAUCCUGGACCGGCAUUGACGCUGAGGCGCGAAAGCUAGGGGAGCAAACGGG